Aethalodelphis obliquidens (Pacific white-sided dolphin) is the source of this 1524-nucleotide long non-coding RNA. RefSeq lists it as uncharacterized. Lineage: Eukaryota; Metazoa; Chordata; Mammalia; Artiodactyla; Delphinidae. The transcript is spliced from 2 exons. The record is from RefSeq and is a predicted model, not a curated record.
AGUUCAGUUCCCGGACCAGGGAUUGAACCCAGGGCCACAGCAGUGAAAGCCCAGAAUCCUAACCACUAGGCCACCACGGAACUCUGCCUGACGUGUUAUCUUGGUUGAGCCUCUCAACCAUCUUUAAGACUGGACUCUGAAGACAGAGGAACUGUGGCCACUUUUGCCCUGGAUACUUCCUACUCCUAGCCCAGUGCCUGGGAGAAGGCUCUGCACAUUCACAAAUGUUUAGGUGCACAGCAUUGUGUGCUGAGUAUGAUGCUACCGUCUCUGGGGAGACACAAGGAAGAGAAAGCAGUCCUAUCCCCCAGGACUCCUACCCACCAAGAGUCCACCUCUGGUCUCAUUGAGGAGACAGCAACAGCACACAUGAAAACACCAAGGGUACUUAGUUCAGGCCCUGGGCAUCUCUCCCUGGGAGGAAUGCAAACAACCCCCUAACAGACUUCCUCACUUCUAGUAUCUCCCCUUUGCUAAUUCAUCCCCAUGCAGCUGCCAGAUACACAAAGGCCAGCUCUGAUCAGAUCUCUUACUGGCUUUGAAGCCUUCAAUGCUCCUUCUCUCUUUCUGGUGAAAAUCUGAACUCAUUAGCAUGGCACCAAACCCUUUGCUGUCCAAUCCCAGCCUGCCCCGAGGGCUCCAGUCAUCAUCACUGCUCAUUGGCACCCAGACGCUGAUCAUUUGGAACUUCCUGCUCUCAUUCCCAUUCCAGCCCCAGUCUUCCAGCAUGCUUGAAAGCCUCUGCAACCCCCAUGAUUUGCUUGACCUGUUUAGGUACAAUCCCAUCACAUUUCAUUGACUUAUUUCAUCUCAACAUUUCAGCCUGAAGUGCCCUUAUCACCAGGAAUUCCAGAAUCUUCCUUUCCCCUCUCAUUCCCUGCUAUUCCACUGUACACAAUUGCCUAGCAACCUGGGCGCUACUCAGUCCAAAGAGAUUAGAGUGUGAGAAAAGUCAAUGUAUGAGAAAGAUCAGAGUCAUGCAAGAUAAACCAGGAUGGGUUGCCUGCAAACAGAGAACUUUCAUCAGGAUUUAGAAUGUACGAGAACUUCGGCAGGUAGAUGUGUUGGCAAUGGGGAAGGGAGGACCCCUGAAGUAUGGGAUCAGUAGCUAAGGGGUGGAAAAAGGCAGCGCCUCAGGCUCAGAAUGCAAUGACUUCACUUGAUAAAUUCCAGUCUGGUAAGGCUUUCAGAAACUGGGUGAGCUCAUUCAAUGCUGAUAUCGUUCCAAAUUGGUAUAGUCCUUGAGAGCCAUAAAAUAUGUUCAUGUCUUUGACAAGUAAUCCUGCCCAUGAAAAUUUAUGCUUUAAGGAAAUAAUUCACUGGAACACCAAAUGCUCUUUGAACAAUAGUGUUCAUAGAGACAUUCUAUAUAGUAGAGAACAUGUGGAAGAAAUCAACAGUUCAACAAUAGGAGCUGGUUAAAUAAAAUAGGAAAUGUCUAGAUAAUGAAGUGUUAGGAAGAUAUUAAAACUGAUAAUUAAAGUUUGUACUAUUCAAUUCUGAAUUAACAAGUCAGCAAAUAUG